UACGUAGGGUGCAAGCGUUAAUCGGAAUUACUGGGCGUAAAGCGCACGUAGGCGGCUUUCUAAGUCAGGGGUGAAAUCCUGGAGCUCAACUCCAGAACUGCCUUUGAUACUGGGGAGCUCGAGUCCGGAAGAGGUGAGUGGAACUCCGAGUGUAGAGGUGAAAUUCGUAGAUAUUCGGAAGAACACCAGUGGCGAAGGCGGCUCACUGGACCGGUACUGACGCUGAGGUGCGAAAGCGUGGGGAGCAAACAGG
Molecule: ribosomal RNA, 253 nt
Filed under: uncultured bacterium
Lineage: Bacteria
Description: partial 16S ribosomal RNA
Rfam family: Bacterial small subunit ribosomal RNA
Source: RNAcentral